RNAcentral lists this ribosomal RNA (397 nucleotides) under uncultured Prevotella sp. RNAcentral describes it as "bacterial SSU rRNA". It matches the Rfam family "Bacterial small subunit ribosomal RNA", at positions 355 to 747 of the family's 1533-position model. Lineage: Bacteria; Pseudomonadati; Bacteroidota; Bacteroidia; Bacteroidales; Prevotellaceae. The record is from RNAcentral.
GGAGGAAUAUUGGUCAAUGGGGCGAAAGCCUGAACCAGCCAAGUAGCGUGCAGGAUGACGGCCCUACGGGUUGUAAACUGCUUUUAGGCGGGGGUAAAGGGGCGGACGUGUUCCGCUUUUGCAAGUACCGCCAGAAUAAGGACCGGCUAAUUCCGUGCCAGCAGCCGCGGUAAUACGGAAGGUCCGGGCGUUAUCCGGAUUUAUUGGGUUUAAAGGGAGCGUAGGCCGUCUUUUAAGCGUGUUGUGAAAUACUGUCGCUCAACGACAGAGGUGCAGCGCGAACUGGGAGACUUGAGUGCGCGGAAUGCAGGCGGAAUUCGUCGUGUAGCGGUGAAAUGCUUAGAUAUGACGAAGAACUCCGAUUGCGAAGGCAGCUUGCAGUAGCGUAACUGACGCU